This 497-nucleotide ribosomal RNA is filed under the name uncultured bacterium. Its description in RNAcentral is "partial 16S ribosomal RNA". It matches the Rfam family "Bacterial small subunit ribosomal RNA", at positions 28 to 507 of the family's 1533-position model. The record is from RNAcentral.
GAUGAACGCUGGCGGCGUGCCUAAUACAUGCAAGUCGAGCGAACAGAUGAGGAGCUUGCUCCUCUGACGUUAGCGGCGGACGGGUGAGUAACACGUGGAUAACCUACCUAUAAGACUGGGAUAACUUCGGGAAACCGGAGCUAAUACCGGAUAAUAUAUUGAACCGCAUGGUUCAAUAGUGAAAGACGGUUUUGCUGUCACUUAUAGAUGGAUCCGCGCCGCAUUAGCUAGUUGGUAAGGUAACGGCUUACCAAGGCAACGAUGCGUAGCCGACCUGAGAGGGUGUCCGGCAACACUGGAACGGGGACACGGCCCAGACUCUUACGGGAGGAAGCAGUGGGGAAUCUUCGGCAAUGGGCGAAAGCCUGACGGAGCAACGCCGCGUGGGUGAUGAAGGUCUUCGGAUCGUAAAACUUGGUAAUUGGGGAGGAACAAAUGUGAAAGUAACUAUGCACGUUUUGACGGUACCUAAUCAGAAAGCCACGGCUAACUCCGUG